AUCAUGGAACAGACCAUCUCUUCCAGAACAGGGACAGAGAAAUUCCCCAGAAAUUCCCCAGAGAGUUCACCUCUUGGAAGAAGUUUUCAGGUAGAUAUGGAAGAUUUAUGGCUACUGAGUGUCUGAAUAUCUUGUAAUCAAACAUGGGAAUAUGAAAGCUGCAAGACAGAAUGGAGAGCUCUCAAAUUGUCGCCCCAAUGGAGAGAAAAUGCAGUUGCCGAAAGGAAAAAGACAAAGGAAACUCAGACUUCAGAGCCCUCCCUAUUCACAGAUACAGGCAGAAACUAGUUGACGCUGUCAGAGACAAUUCAUUUCUUAUUGUGACUGGGGAGACAGGGAGUGGCAAAACUACCCAGCUCCCUAAGUAUCUAUUUGAAGAAGGCUUUCUAAAGCAUGGAGUGAUUGGUGUGACUCAGCCACGCCGAGUAGCUACCAUGUCUGUGGCUCAGAGAGUGGCUGAGGAGAUGAACUCUUCACUGGGAAGCAUAGUGGGAUAUCAGGUUCGCUUUGAUGACUGCACCUCUGAGGGUACUGCAAUCAAGUAUAUGACUGAUGGCUGCUUACUGAGACAGAUACUGGCAGACCUCCAUCUUACCAAAUACAGCAUCAUUAUACUGGAUGAAGCCCAUGAGCGGAGCUUAAGCACAGACAUUUUAUUUGGCUUGCUGAAGAAACUAUUCCAACAAAAGAAGCCUCCCAAGAGAAGGAAAGCCUUGAAGGUGGUGGUGAUGUCAGCCACCCUGGAGGUAGACAAGCUCUCAGAGUUCUUUGGAGGCUGCACAGUGGUGGACAUUCCAGGAAGGAAUUAUCCCGUCAAGGAGAUAUUCUGCAGCCUGCUUGGCCCAAAGGAUGCAGAAAGCUCUGCUUAUGUUACAGAGGCUGUAAAAGUGACCCUGGAUAUCCACUUGAAUGAGUCAGCGGGAGACAUCUUGGUUUUUCUGACUGGACAAUCUGAGAUAGAAAGAACAUGCGACUUACUUUUCCAAAAAGCGGAAUCUAUUGAUUACCGCUAUGAUGUGCAAGAUGGUUCUGUUGAAGGUUUGCUUAUCUUACCAUUGUAUGGGUCAAUGCCAACAGAUCAGCAGAGAAGAAUAUUUUUGCCACCUCCUCCAGGCAUUAGAAAAUGUGUUGUAUCCACAAACGUUGCUGCAACUUCUCUGACAGUUGAUGGAAUCAGGUAUGUAGUUGAUAGUGGAUUUGUGAAGCAGUUAAAUCAUAACCCCAGGGUUGGCUUGGACAUACUGGAGGUGGUUCCCAUUUCAAAGAGUGAAGCAAUGCAACGAGCUGGCCGAGCUGGCAGGACAUCACCUGGAAAAUGCUACAGGGUGUACAGCAAGGAAUUCUGGGAUCAGUGUAUGCCUAAUCACAUGAUCCCAGAGAUAAAGAGAACUAGUCUUACAUCUGUGAUCUUGACCUUGAAGUGCCUUGCUGUACAUGAUGUCAUAAGGUUCCCCUAUUUGGACCGCCCUGAAGAGAGGCAUAUUUUAGAGGCUCUUAAGCAACUUUACCAGUGUGAUGCUAUUGACAGGAGAGGCCGCGUGACAAGACUGGGAGAGUUUUUGGUGCAAUUUCCUCUCCCUCCAAACCUGACCUGUGCUGUCAUAAAGGCAGCUUCUCUUGACUGCGAAGAUCUGUUGCUUCCCAUAGCUGCGAUGUUGUCUGUGGAAAAUGUCUUCAUACGGCCUGAUGACCUUCUGAAACAAAAGGAAGCAGAACUCCGCCACCAGGAGCUGUCAUUAGAGGCAGGAGGAUGCAAUGAUUUUGCAACCCUUUUAAACAUCUUUGAACAGUGCAAAUCAAGCAAGUCUCCUGUAGCUUGGUGCCAGAAACACUGGGUCCACUUCAGAGCUUUAAAAUCUGCUUUUAGUGUGGAAGCACAACUUCAGGAAAUAACCAGUAAGCUUAAACAGCUGUCAGACUUCCCAAGAGAGCGUUUUGAUGGCUCCAAAAAUGAGAUACUCCGAAGAUGUCUGUGCACGGGGUACUUCACCAAUGUAGCCAGAAGGUCCGCAGGCAGGACAUUCUGCACGAUGGACGGACAUGGUAGCAUAGUCCAUCUUCAUCCUUCAUCAGCACUCCAUGACCAGGAACUUCAACCUGAAUGGAUCAUCUUCCAUGAUGUCCUGGUCACAUCUAAAAUUUAUGUGAGGAUGGUGUGUCCUAUUCGCUAUGAGUGGGUCAAAGACUUGUUGCCCAAGUUACAUGAAAUUGAUGUGUAUGAACUGAGCAGUGUGGCACGGGAAGAGGUGACCGAGGAGGAAAUAACCAAGUGGAAAAACAAGGAAGACCUCAAACGACAGUAUGAAAAAAUAAAAUAUGACUCUGCAAAGAAGAUGGAGAAAAGGAAUGAUGAUAAAUCAAUACAGGAUGCCCGAGUGCGCUACCUCCAGAGAAAACAGCAAAGGGCACAGUGUAUAAAUGCCACGCUAAAGGAGAUAGGCUAGUACAGCAAUGAGUGCUCUUGCAAAGGCAGUCAGUGCAAUUGCUUGUUGAUAAGCUUGCUGCAUAAACACACCAAAAAAAAAAGAAAAGUGCCUGGAAGCCUCGUCUGCUAGGUGCUGUACUGCCAGAGAAUAAAAAGACAGCCCCUAUCCCAAAGAGCUUACAUGAAACCCAGGCUGCUUCUUCACAAAGAGUCUCCAUUCUACUCCGAUAGAAAUCAACAGCAAAACUCCUGUUGGCUUCACAGGGUGGUACUGAGCACCUACAUUUCCGGCUCCCUUUAAUGGGAGAUGCAGCUGCUUAGCUCCUCUGGCAGGUGUUUCUAUUUGUGUCAAUACAGCACCACUCAGUUACAAGACAGUGACACUGUUGGAACAGUGCAGCAUGCAAAGCCUUAGAACAAAGAGGCUUCCCUGGUGCUAUAUUCUGAAGGGGUAGACUUGAUGGCGUUUGUGGAAAUGAAUGCUUACAUGGCCCAUUAUGUCUGGUGUGCUUUCCAAACAGAGAAGGAAGCAUGAUCCCUUCAUCAAGGAGCUUUACAAGCUAUAGAGGCUACAGAGUACUCCCUAUGCUGCUCUGCAAAGGACAAUGUUAACUCGCUGGAUUGUAAGAGGCUUAGCUAAGGCUAUAUUACAGAUAUUAACAGUAAUAACAGGAGCAAGAGCUAAUGCCUACAGAUUGUGUAAGUUGCAGCCAUAUUGCCUUUAACAAUGUGAAAUUCAGUGCUGCCCACGACUUCUCUAAUUCCCUUUGUGUAUACAAACUGCAGAGAGAGCUGCAAAAUGAAUGCCUUUCUAGUUCCUACAGGGAUGAGUGAAUCAAUAUAUUCUUGGGUGAGAUCAGUGUAAGUAGUAGUAUGUCUAAGGCUCUUGCUUUGUUGUGUUUUACAGUGUAUUCAAAUGGAAGAGCUUUUUGUUCUUUCACAGUCAUUACUUCAGUAUGUGCUCUUUAGCAGCCAGCACUCUGUUCCUCGCUAAUUUGAUAGGUUCCUCCUUGCUUUUGCAAGGGGCCUGCAACCCAGUAUCAUACUGUAUGAAUGUGAAUGCACUUGCAGUGUCCUUUCAGAUGAUGUCUGUACCACGUACUGAGUCUGACAUUUGUAGGUAUAACACACACUCCUACUCAGGGCCCAUGUCCCUCCUGACAUAUAGUUAUGCAGAGAUUUCCUUUGACUUCCUUAGUAGCAAUGAAGCAUCCUUUUUUUAACUUGAAAAAUGACAUCAGUAUCCCUGAUUUUGCAGGCACAAAGUCCUAAACAAAUAGGAACCAAUUGGUUUCUUGCUAUGGCAGAAGUGUUUGCUUAAAAAAUAAAGUUACUGAGGAGCUAUAUUACAUUUGAUUUUUUUAUCUUUCUAACUGAACACAUCUGAGCCUCAUCUCUUGCUUGUUAAGCCUUUUUAAUCUAUUAAAUUGUUUUGCAGUUCUGGCAAAUAAGCUUGAAAAUGUGAAUUUAAGAUCCAACUAUACAAGAAAGUAGCACUGCAUCAUAAGCCCACAGCAUAAGGAAAAUAUGAAUUUAGUUUGACGUGGUGUCCUUAACUUACCCUCUUUAAUUUACUCUAUUUGUUUGGCUACAGUAGUACAUAUGGUAUGUAAGAUCCUCUGAUAAAGGACCACAUGUGUUGUAAUGCAUUGGUUAAAGAGGCUAUAACAGCUUUAACUCAACAUAUCUUAUGUUUUUAUGGGGUUAGGUUACAAGAGGAUUUUUUUCUUAUUUUUUUUAAGUUACUGUACGGGUAAGUUUGAAAAUUUUCGUUAUUGCCACUGCAUACAGCAAUAAUGUUUUAUUAAAAAUCCCUCUGACAAGACCUGGAAUUGUAGGGGACACCUGAAACCUUGGAAUACUUUUCAUUUUUGUAUAAUUUAAAAAAGAUCCUGGCAUGUGUUUCUGUGAAGGAAAGAGAUGAAUGUUGAUUUGCUAUAUGGUCAGAAUUGUAUUUUGACCCUUUUCCUGCUUGUUAUGAAGAACUGCUGAUCCAUGCACUGUAAAUUAAAACUUUAUAUUCCAUGAAGUGCAACAGGUUUAUUUCCUAAUCCAAAGUGGAAAGCAGAAUGUGGUCAGAUUCAAGCAAGCUAAUCUGGAUGGCGCACACAGUGGUGAACUUGGAGAAAUCUCUC
Non-coding RNA from Caretta caretta (loggerhead turtle), 4560 nucleotides. The record is from RefSeq and is a predicted model, not a curated record. Lineage: Eukaryota; Metazoa; Chordata; Testudines; Cheloniidae.